This 441-nucleotide ribosomal RNA is filed under the name uncultured bacterium. RNAcentral describes it as "bacterial SSU rRNA". It matches the Rfam family "Bacterial small subunit ribosomal RNA", at positions 337 to 795 of the family's 1533-position model. The record is from RNAcentral.
GACUUCGGUGUGCUGCAGUGGGGAAUGUUGCACAAUGGGCGCAAGCCUGGUGCAGCGACGCCGCGUGAGCGAUGGAGGCCUUCGGGCCGUAUAGCUCUGUCCUAAGGGAAGAUUAAUGACGGUACCCUCGGAGGAACCGCCGGCUAACUACGUGCCAGCAGCCGCGGUAAUACGUAGGGGGCGAGCGUUAUCCGGAAGCACUGGGCGUAAAGGGUGCGUAGGCGGCCCUGCAAGUCAGGAGUUAAAUCCCUCGGCUCAACCGAGGUCAGCUCUUGAAACUGUAGGGCUUGAGUGCAGGAGAGGAGAGCGGAAUUCCUAGUGUAGCGGUGAAAUGCGUAGAUAUUAGGAGGAACACCAGUGGCGAAGGCGGCUCUCUGGACUGCAACUGACGCUGAGGCACGAAAGCGUGGGGAGCGAACAGGAUUAGAUACCCUUGUAGUC